UGGGGAAUAUUGCACAAUGGGGGAAACCCUGAUGCAGCGACGCCGCGUGAACGAAGAAGGUAUUCGUAUCGUAAAGUUCUGUCCUAUGGGAAGAUAAUGACAGUACCAUAGAAGAAAGCUCCGGCUAAAUACGUGCCAGCAGCCGCGGUAAUACGUAUGGAGCGAGCGGUGUCCGGAAUUAUUGGGCGUAAAGGGUACGCAGGCGGUUUAAUAAGUCGAAUGUUAAAGAUCGGGGCUCAACCCCGUAAAGCAUUGGAAACUGAUAAACUUGAGUAGUGGAGAGGAAAGUGGAAUUCCUAGUGUAGUGGUGAAAUACGUAGAUAUGAGGAGGAAUACCAGUCGCGAAGGCGACUUUCUGGACACAAACUGACGCUGAGGUACGAAAGCGUGGGGAGCAAACAGG
This 403-nucleotide ribosomal RNA is filed under the name bacterium. RNAcentral describes it as "partial 16S ribosomal RNA". It matches the Rfam family "Bacterial small subunit ribosomal RNA", at positions 355 to 776 of the family's 1533-position model. The record is from RNAcentral.